Molecule: long non-coding RNA, 1568 nt
Organism: Phasianus colchicus (ring-necked pheasant)
Lineage: Eukaryota; Metazoa; Chordata; Aves; Galliformes; Phasianidae
Source: Ensembl
GUACUUCAUAAAGUUACUUAUACAGGGCAACACCUUCUAAAAUAAAACAGGAGGCAGAGACUGUGACAGUGAGCCCUCAGUUUUGAAGGCCUUCAGCACAAACCAAGGAUGAAUAUUUGGUCUGAACUGAGGUGCAAUUCUCUAGCAGUGUCAGCCUUGCCAUUUUGUUUUUCACAUGGAUGUUUGUGGGUAGAUCCAGAGAAAUUACUGUGACAGCUCUGCUGUGGCACUGCCUUCCACCAAGCUGUUCUUCAUCCAGAGUAGAGGUUUCUGCAUGCAGAGCAGUGGCAGGCUUGCAGUGAGGGGGAGGUCGUGGAAGUGGAUGUGGACAACCCAGAUAAUUUUUAGUACUAGGGCAUGCUUGUGAUAAAGUUGGAGGAAGAUGCUUGGGCUGCUGAUGCUAGACCUUGAUUGUGCUGCAACAAUGCUUGCUGCCUUGUGGAAGAUCCUGCCCACAAAACCAGACACCACAAACAGUGGGCUUUUGGAGGCAACUUGGAGGGCUUCCAGUCAUCAGGGCCAAAGUCUCACUGGCACUGCCCUACUGGCAUGUCCCUGGUGGAACUAAGCUGCAGGUUGCUGCAUAUCAAAUGGGGAUGAUCCAGCUCAGGUGAAUUCAUGCUUUUCCAAGGUGAGUACUAAUGCUCUCUGCCACUUCUUGGGACUCUCUGUGAUGUCCUGGACACUCACCAUUAUUUAAGAUCCUACAUAACUUUUCACAUUGUUAGCACCAUUAGCUACUAUUAGGCGAUCAUACAUUUAAUUCUCUGAGCUUUACAUUAUCUCUUUGAUUUAAUGUAGAUAAACUGUUGUUUUUUUAAGCUGCUAAAUAUUAUUAGAGUCUGACUCUCCCAGCCUGUGCCAGUGAUGGGCAAAUUGAAUCCUAUUUUAUGUGUAAUUUCUCAAUCAGAGAACAAAGUGCUUUGGCAAUCUGGAUCAAAGGCACAAGUCAUUAUUAUUGUUGGAAUAGUGAAGUGAGCUCCUGGAAAAAUCGUGCUGACUUCUUCUUUGUAGGAUGCCUGCACUGUGGAGCCUUUGAUGUCUAAUGGUCUGGCACCAUAACUUGUGUAGAUAUAGCAUUGCCUGUAAACAGAAAGAGGUAACGAAUGAGUAGAUCAUUAUUUAUUACUUUUAAGACUUCAGAACACAACUCAGAAAUCCCAUGUGCAUGAAGCAAUCCAUAUAAGACAAAAGAUAUUAGAAAGAGAGUGAUGAGUGAGCCUUUCAUUUGAUCUAGCAGGGCCAUUCCAUUUUUUAAUUUUAUUUUUUUUUUCAAAUUCUUCAUCCUAUUUUAGAUGGACGUUCCAUCAGGAAGAUGAGGUAUUCUCACUCUACAUCUUUAAAACUGGUGUUGUUGGAAGAUCAGUGUUGUUCUUUGUGUUGUUUUUCCUGAACUCUGUGCUCCCCAAACUACUGUGAAAGCAAUGAAUAUAUUCCCAUGGCAACAGAAGCACAGAGCCUGGGAACUGAUCUCAGCAGGGCUCCUCCUCUGGCAAUCCCCAGCUGGUGUAAAUCGAGCAUUUCUCGUGCUGGCACAGGUAGAUGCUGAGGAAGGCAUCAUUUUGGGU